AAGGAGUAUGGAGUGACAGAAUCUUGGGAUAAAAUAUUUUGCGUUUCACACAGAACUAUUUAGGUAAGGAACUUCAUCUGGAUAUUCGCAAGAUUAAAUGGUGUGCUUAAUGCUGGCUAAUUCUGUGUUCGGGCAAUGCAUCUAGCUCCUUGAGCUGUCAUAGUGUGAAGAGGUUCGAGAACAAGACUGCAAAUGGGGCUGUUGUUGUGGAAUUGACGGUUGAGGUAGGGGUAGGGGUUUUCCUUCCCUUUUGAUUUGAAACUUGGUACUUGUGAGCUUACACAGAUCCAAAACUCUG
This is a long non-coding RNA of Papaver somniferum (opium poppy), 298 nucleotides long. RefSeq lists it as uncharacterized. The record is from RefSeq and is a predicted model, not a curated record. The transcript is spliced from 3 exons. NCBI's taxonomy places the organism in Eukaryota, Viridiplantae, Streptophyta, Magnoliopsida, Ranunculales, Papaveraceae.